Molecule: long non-coding RNA, 202 nt
Filed under: Malus domestica (apple)
Lineage: Eukaryota; Viridiplantae; Streptophyta; Magnoliopsida; Rosales; Rosaceae
Description: long non-coding RNA (MDOM_LNC001036)
Source: RNAcentral
UGGAAAGUGGUGCCUCUUCGAAAUCCGGAGAAUGGUGCCACUUCGAUUUUUGAAUCAACGGCCCUGUUGCCCUUUAUUUUAUAAGGGCACCAAUUGUGCAAGGAGUACAUUCAGAGAGUUAUUGCUUGUCAGAAUUUUUCCCUUACUUCAGAGAUUUAUUGCACCUUAUUUCUCCUUCAUCAUUUCUGAGAAUGUCUGGCCC